This 270-nucleotide small nucleolar RNA is filed under the name Diaporthe ampelina. RNAcentral's name for it is "Fungal small nucleolar RNA U3". It matches the Rfam family "Fungal small nucleolar RNA U3". From Rfam's summary of the family: Small nucleolar RNAs (snoRNAs) are involved in the processing and modification of rRNA in the nucleolus. The record is from Rfam by way of RNAcentral. Lineage: Eukaryota; Fungi; Ascomycota; Sordariomycetes; Diaporthales; Diaporthaceae.
GUCGACAAUACUCUAGAGAAUCAUUUCUAUAGGUUUUGUCCCAUCUUCUAUGUUUCCCAACAUAGCUACAGAUCCCACCCAGGUUGAUGACUGCAAAUCCUCGACAUGCCCUAGAGUGAACACACCACUUUUACUCCCGACCCGCCUGCAAAGGUGGCGGUUGCCUCGUGCAACUGUAUAGGGAGUGGUGAUGAUCUCUACCCCGAUCUUCCUCGAGGUCUUGCCUUCGGGCGCUCGGGCGGGGUGGCUGCCGAUGGACGUCUGACUGGC